RNAcentral lists this unclassified non-coding RNA (240 nucleotides) under soil metagenome. RNAcentral describes it as "partial contains 5.8S ribosomal RNA, internal transcribed spacer 2, and large subunit ribosomal RNA". The record is from RNAcentral.
AACAUCGCGCACCUGCGGGAACCUGCGGAGGGAUCAUUACAGGGUUGCAAAACUCCCUAAACCAUUGUGAACGUUACCUAAACCGUUGCUUCGGCGGGCGGCCCGGGUCCUUCCCGGCGCCCAUCGGCCCUCGCGGGCGCCCGCCGGAGGUAAACCAAACUAUUGCAUUGUAUGGCCUCUCUGAGUCUUCUGUACUGAAUAAGUCAAAACUUUCAACAACGGAUCUCAGAUCGGAAGAGC